GUAGUCCACGCUGUAAACGUUGGGCGCUAGGUGUGGGGGACCUCUCCGGUUCUCUGUGCCGCAGCUAACGCAUUAAGCGCCCCGCCUGGGGAGUACGGCCGCAAGGCUAAAGCUCAAAGGAAUUGACGGGGGCCCGCACAAGCGGCGGAGCAUGCGGAUUAAUUCGAUGCAACGCGAAGAACCUUACCUGGGUUUGACAUCGCCGGAAGACUCGUAGAGAUACGGGGUCCUUCGGGGCCGGUGACAGGUGGUGCAUGGCUGUCGUCAGCUCGUGUCGUGAGAUGUUGGGUUAAGUCCCGCAACGAGCGCAACCCUCGUUCGAUGUUGCCAGCGCGUCAUGGCGGGGACUCAUCGAAGACUGCCGGGGUCAACUCGGAGGAAGGUGGGGAUGACGUCAAGUCAUCAUGCCCCUUAUGUCCAGGGCUUCACGCAUGCUACAAUGGCCGGUACAAAGGGUUGCGAUGCCGUGAGGUGGAGCGAAUCCCAAAAAGCCGGUCUCAGUUCGGAUCGGGGUCUGCAACUCGACCCCGUGAAGUCGGAGUCGCUAGUAAUCGCAGAUCAGCAACGCUGCGGUGAAUA
RNAcentral lists this ribosomal RNA (579 nucleotides) under uncultured Actinoplanes sp. RNAcentral describes it as "bacterial SSU rRNA". It matches the Rfam family "Bacterial small subunit ribosomal RNA", at positions 790 to 1368 of the family's 1533-position model. Lineage: Bacteria; Bacillati; Actinomycetota; Actinomycetes; Micromonosporales; Micromonosporaceae. The record is from RNAcentral.